CAGUCGCCACGGUAAUACGAAGGGUGCAAGCGUUAAUCGGAAUUACUGGGCGUAAAGCGUGCGUAGGCGGUGAGUUAAGUCUGCUGUGAAAUCCCCGGGCUCAACCUGGGAAUGGCAGUGGAUACUGGCUCGCUAGAGUGUGUCAGAGGAUGGUGGAAUUCCCGGUGUAGCGGUGAAAUGCGUAGAGAUCGGGAGGAACAUCAGUGGCGAAGGCGGCCAUCUGGGACAACACUGACGCUGAGGCACGAAAGCGUGGGGAGCAAACAGGAUUAGAUACCCGGGUAGUCCCUGUCUCUUAUAA
This 301-nucleotide ribosomal RNA is filed under the name uncultured bacterium. RNAcentral's name for it is "partial 16S ribosomal RNA". It matches the Rfam family "Bacterial small subunit ribosomal RNA", at positions 509 to 809 of the family's 1533-position model. The record is from RNAcentral.